Molecule: unclassified non-coding RNA, 220 nt
Filed under: Hevea brasiliensis (rubber tree)
Lineage: Eukaryota; Viridiplantae; Streptophyta; Magnoliopsida; Malpighiales; Euphorbiaceae
Source: RNAcentral
AUUGUAAGGUAAUCGACCGGAUCUUUGAGCUUCAAAGUAAAGGAGACUCUUGGAAAGAGCAUCUGCAUAGUCAAAAGCUACAGCAGAAGAAGAAAAAAUGGUGGAAAAUGAAAGAAGAAGAGAAAAAUAGUGCAAAUAAAAACUCUUCAUGAUGAUGGAAAUUGAUUUUUUUUUCCUUUGUUUGUUUGCUUGUUUCUCCUUCUACUGUCACUCCUAAAGA